GUGCUUUUUAUGUGCCAUCAGCAUGGGAACCAAUCCAUGGCCCUGACAACGGUCAUGCUCAGAUGUGCCUUUAACCUUCUACUGGCACGAGUGCCUAUCAGGCGGUACUUUCAUCGGCCAUGUCAGCGAUUUUGAUUUGUUUACACUUGCCUCAGUAGGUCUUCACAAGCAAAGUUCAUUGUCCAAUGAAU
Long non-coding RNA from Octopus sinensis (East Asian common octopus), 191 nucleotides. RefSeq lists it as uncharacterized. The record is from RefSeq and is a predicted model, not a curated record. Lineage: Eukaryota; Metazoa; Mollusca; Cephalopoda; Octopoda; Octopodidae. The transcript has 3 exons.